GAUGAACGCUAGCUACAGGCUUAACACAUGCAAGUCGAGGGGCAGCAUGGUCUUAGCUUGCUAAGGCCGAUGGCGACCGGCGCACGGGUGAGUAACACGUAUCCAACCUGCCGUCUACUCUUGGACAGCCUUCUGAAAGGAAGAUUAAUACAAGAUGGCAUCAUGAGUCCGCAUGUUCACAUGAUUAAAGGUAUUCCGGUAGACGAUGGGGAUGCGUUCCAUUAGAUAGUAGGCGGGGUAACGGCCCACCUAGUCUUCGAUGGAUAGGGGUUCUGAGAGGAAGGUCCCCCACAUUGGAACUGAGACACGGUCCAAACUCCUACGGGAGGCAGCAGUGAGGAAUAUUGGUCAAUGGGCGAGAGCCUGAACCAGCCAAGUAGCGUGAAGGAUGACUGCCCUAUGGGUUGUAAACUUCUUUUAUAAAGGAAUAAAGUCGGGUAUGGAUACCCGUUUGCAUGUACUUUAUGAAUAAGGAUCGGCUAACUCCGUGCCAGCAGCCGCGGUAAUACGGAGGAUCCGAGCGUUAUCCGGAUUUAUUGGGUUUAAAGGGAGCGUAGAUGGAUGUUUAAGUCAGUUGUGAAAGUUUGCGGCUCAACCGUAAAAUUGCAGUUGAUACUGGAUAUCUUGAGUGCAGUUGAGGCAGGCGGAAUUCGUGGUGUAGCGGUGAAAUGCUUAGAUAUCACGAAGAACUCCGAUUGCGAAGGCAGCCUGCUAAGCUGCAACUGACAUUGAGGCUCGAAAGUGUGGGUAUCAAACAGGAUUAGAUACCCUGGUAGUCCACACGGUAAACGAUGAAUACUCGCUGUUUGCGAUAUACUGCAAGCGGCCAAGCGAAAGCGUUAAGUAUUCCACCUGGGGAGUACGCCGGCAACGGUGAAACUCAAAGGAAUUGACGGGGGCCCGCACAAGCGGAGGAACAUGUGGUUUAAUUCGAUGAUACGCGAGGAACCUUACCCGGGCUUAAAUUGCAGAUGAAUUACGGUGAAAGCCGUAAGCCGCAAGGCAUCUGUGAAGGUGCUGCAUGGUUGUCGUCAGCUCGUGCCGUGAGGUGUCGGCUUAAGUGCCAUAACGAGCGCAACCCUUGUUGUCAGUUACUAACAGGCUCCGCUGAGGACUCUGACAAGACUGCCAUCGUAAGAUGUGAGGAAGGUGGGGAUGACGUCAAAUCGGCACGGCCCUUACGUCCGGGGCUACACACGUGUUACAAUGGGGGGUACAGAGGGCCGCUACCACGCGAGUGGAUGCCAAUCCUCAAAACCUCUCUCAGUUCGGACUGGAGUCUGCAACCCGACUCCACGAAGCUGGAUUCGCUAGUAAUCGCGCAUCAGCCACGGCGCGGUGAAUACGUUCCCGGGCCUUGUACACACCGCCCGUCAAGCCAUGGGAGCCGGGGGUACCUGAAGUGCGUAACCGCGAGGAGCGCCCUAGGGUAAAACUGGUG
This 1441-nucleotide ribosomal RNA is filed under the name uncultured organism. RNAcentral describes it as "16S ribosomal RNA". It matches the Rfam family "Bacterial small subunit ribosomal RNA". The record is from RNAcentral.